RNAcentral lists this ribosomal RNA (242 nucleotides) under uncultured Bacteroidota bacterium. Its description in RNAcentral is "uncultured Bacteroidetes bacterium partial 16S ribosomal RNA". It matches the Rfam family "Bacterial small subunit ribosomal RNA", at positions 796 to 1041 of the family's 1533-position model. The record is from RNAcentral. Lineage: Bacteria; Pseudomonadati; Bacteroidota.
CACGCCGUAAACGAUGUUCACUCGCUGUUUGCGAUAUACAGUAAGCGGCUAAGCGAAAGCAUUAAGUGAACCACCUGGGGAGUACGAUCGCAAGGUUGAAACUCAAAGGAAUUGACGGGGGCCCGCACAAGCGGAGGAACAUGUGGUUUAAUUCGAUGAUACGCGAGGAACCUUACCUGGGCUUAAAUGUAGGAUGCAUGAGGCGGAAACGUUUCUUUCCUUCGGGACACCCUACAAGGUGC